This 950-nucleotide ribosomal RNA is filed under the name uncultured archaeon. Its description in RNAcentral is "partial 16S rRNA". It matches the Rfam family "Archaeal small subunit ribosomal RNA", at positions 1 to 943 of the family's 1478-position model. The record is from RNAcentral.
UUCCGGUUGAUCCUGCCGGACCCGACUGCUAUUUGGGUGAGAAUAAGCCAUGCGAGUUGAAUGGGAUACCUAAAGUUCCCAUAGCAAACUGCUCAGUAACACAUGAUCAACUUACCCUAUAGAGAAAAAUAACCUCGGGAAACUGAGGAUAAUGUUUCAUAAUUGAAUUGGCUUGGAAAAGUUUUUCAAUGAAAAGGAUAAAAAAAAUGGUUUUUAUCUGCUAUAGGAUAGGAUCGUGUUCGAUUAUGGUUGUUGGUGAGAUAAUGGCUCACCAAGCCGAUAAUCGAUAGGGGCCGUGAGAGCGGGAGCCCCGAGAUGGGUACUGAGACAACGACCCAGGCCUUACGAGGCGCAGCAGGCGCGGAACCUCCGCAAUACACGAAAGUGUGACGGGGUUACCCAAAGUGUUCAAUAGAACUGUGGUAGGUGAGUAAUGUCCCCUACUAGAAAGGAGAGGGCAAGGCUGGUGCCAGCCGCCGCGGUAAAACCAGCUCUUCAAGUGGUCGGGAUAAUUAUUGGGCUUAAAGUGUCCGUAGCCGGUUUAGUAAGUUCCUGGUAAAAUCGGGUAGCUUAACUAUCUGCAUGCUAGGAAUACUGCUAUACUAGAGGGCGGGAGAGGUCUGAGGUACUACAGGGGUAGGGGUGAAAUCUUAUAAUCCUUGUAGGACCACCAGUGGCGAAGGCGUCAGACUGGAACGCGCCUGACGGUGAGGGACGAAAGCCAGGGGAGCGAACCGGAUUAGAUACCCGGGUAGUCCUGGCCGUAAACGAUGCAUACUAGGUGAUGGUACGGCCAUGAGCCGUAUCAGUGCCGUAGGGAAACCGUUAAGUGUGCCGCCUGGGAAGUACGGUCGCAAGGCUAAAACUUAAAGGAAUUGGCGGGGGAGCACCACAAGGGUGAAGCCUGCGGUUCAAUUGGAUUCAACGCCGGGAAUCACUAGUGCGGCCGC